This 125-nucleotide transfer RNA is filed under the name Fusarium vanettenii 77-13-4. RNAcentral's name for it is "tRNA-Met (CAT) (tRNA-Met-CAT-4-1)". The record is from RNAcentral. Lineage: Eukaryota; Fungi; Ascomycota; Sordariomycetes; Hypocreales; Nectriaceae.
AGCAGCUUGGCGCAGCGGAAGCGCGGUAUGUUCCCUCAACUCCACAACACCACAACUCAGUACUGAUUCAUUCAAUAGCCGGGCUCAUAACCCGGAGGUCGCUGGAUCGAGACCAGCAGCUGCUA